Molecule: long non-coding RNA, 248 nt
Filed under: Olea europaea (common olive)
Lineage: Eukaryota; Viridiplantae; Streptophyta; Magnoliopsida; Lamiales; Oleaceae
Description: long non-coding RNA (OEUR_LNC012457)
Source: RNAcentral
UUGGUUGAGCGUGACAACUCCCUCAACAUUGGAGGUGCCCUUGAGGACCGCGACGGCCUUCUUGGAGGCGGAGGCAACAAUGGCAAUAGGCUUCGGGGAGGCGGAGGCGGAGAAGGACAAGUAUGGGCGGGCGGUGGUGGCUUUGAGUGAGAGGCCGUGGAAGGAAGAAGUAAAUGGGAGUGAUGACGAAAAGGUGGCGGUGGAAAUGGUGGGAUUGAAAGAGAUUGGGAGGAGAGAGUGGUGGGGUG